GUUUGAUCCUGGCUCAGGAUGAACGCUGGCGGCGUGCCUAAUACAUGCAAGUCGAACGCACAGCGAAAGGUGCUUGCACCUUUCAAGUGAGUGGCGAACGGGUGAGUAACACGUGGACAACCUGCCUCAAGGCUGGGGAUAACAUUUGGAAACAGAUGCUAAUACCGAAUAAAACUUAGUGUCGCAUGACACAAAGUUAAAAGGCGCUUCGGCGUCACCUAGAGAUGGAUCCGCGGUGCAUUAGUUAGUUGGUGGGGUAAAGGCCUACCAAGACAAUGAUGCAUAGCCGAGUUGAGAGACUGAUCGGCCACAUUGGGACUGAGACACGGCCCAAACUCCUACGGGAGGCUGCAGUAGGGAAUCUUCCACAAUGGGCGAAAGCCUGAUGGAGCAACGCCGCGUGUGUGAUGAAGGCUUUCGGGUCGUAAAGCACUGUUGUAUGGGAAGAACAGCUAGAAUAGGAAAUGAUUUUAGUUUGACGGUACCAUACCAGAAAGGGACGGCUAAAUACGUGCCAGCAGCCGCGGUAAUACGUAUGUCCCGAGCGUUAUCCGGAUUUAUUGGGCGUAAAGCGAGCGCAGACGGUUUAUUAAGUCUGAUGUGAAAGCCCGGAGCUCAACUCCGGAAUGGCAUUGGAAACUGGUUAACUUGAGUGCAGUAGAGGUAAGUGGAACUCCAUGUGUAGCGGUGGAAUGCGUAGAUAUAUGGAAGAACACCAGUGGCGAAGGCGGCUUACUGGACUGCAACUGACGUUGAGGCUCGAAAGUGUGGGUAGCAAACAGGAUUAGAUACCCUGGUAGUCCACACCGUAAACGAUGAACACUAGGUGUUAGGAGGUUUCCGCCUCUUAGUGCCGAAGCUAACGCAUUAAGUGUUCCGCCUGGGGAGUACG
RNAcentral lists this ribosomal RNA (892 nucleotides) under Leuconostoc mesenteroides. RNAcentral's name for it is "bacterial SSU rRNA". It matches the Rfam family "Bacterial small subunit ribosomal RNA", at positions 11 to 884 of the family's 1533-position model. Lineage: Bacteria; Bacillati; Bacillota; Bacilli; Lactobacillales; Lactobacillaceae. The record is from RNAcentral.